UCACAACUCUCUCUAAUCACCCCCAAAUCACCCAAAUUCGCAGCUGAUUGCAGAAGUUCGGGCAGAAGCAUACCUCUUCACAAAAGUGAGCAUAACUCACUCAAUACUUGUCCGAUUUAGUCCAUUCUUUUUCCAGAACGCUUGGCUUGACCUUAUCUUCGAUACCAUGGGUGUUUCUCAAUGAAUAAACCCCUGGAACUCCGGCAAAUAGGCUUCAAAGUCCACUUUUAACUCACUCAAACCUAUGUCCUAAUGCUUACAACCUAUCUUAUGGUUGGUUAGGCUUAAAAACAAGGUUGAGACAUGUGAAAUCAGAGGUGUAAACCUCACAUACUUUCCGUUUUGUUUGGGUUUUAACCCACAAGUAAUGAACAAGCCUAAUGCUUGAUGUUUGUGUGAUUAUAGGACUAGCUUGGGCUAUCCUACUUGUAAGUCCACACAUUACUUGAUGUUUUCCUUAGAUUAGUUGUAUUUAUUCAUUCUUUAUUGUAUGUUCAUGACCCUCCUUGGUUGUUUUUACAUCAAGUGUAGUGGUGAACACUUAGAGGUACCUAAAUGGAAGCUUGUUCUUCCUACCUCCUACAUGAUUUCCAUGAUAUUUAGAGGUACCUAAAUGAAGAUCUUAAUCUUCUACCUCAUGCUUGAAAUAUUGGACUUAAUAAUAGGUAUAAAAUAUAUGUAAUAUAUAAACACAUAAUCCAAAUAAUCGAAUCUUAGAUGAUGAAUUAGUGUUCAUAUGUCCAAGUACUAGAUUAUAUCAUCCUAUGAUAACUUGUUACGAUUCUAGUGGAACCAUGUUCCAUGAAACCAUAUAAACUCCUUGGAGUACAUAGUGUCAAGAACAAGUAUCAUAUGUAUUAGAUGAUUAUUUUCACAUGUUAUUCUCAUAUGUUAUUUUCAUGUUGUUUUAUUCCGAGUCUCGACUCUAAGCAUACUCGAACUUUAACCCUUAUACAUUCGGACUCUAAAUCUCUACUCGUCAACAAUUGGAUAAUCGGAAAGCAUAUGCAAACUUUGUUGAUGAUGACGAUGCUAUGAAAAGAAGUAGCGUUGAUGCCUAGAUACACAUAUAGACGUUUAGGUUUAAUAUGUUGUAUCAAUUUUUCUUAUGUUGUUAUGUACUUCUUUGAACUUGUUAUAUUUGAAUUUCUUGUAAUGUUGACAAUUUACUUUAUGAAAUGAAAUCGGUUAUUAAAUAUUGUCACAAAUAGCGU
RNAcentral lists this long non-coding RNA (1214 nucleotides) under Helianthus annuus (common sunflower). Lineage: Eukaryota; Viridiplantae; Streptophyta; Magnoliopsida; Asterales; Asteraceae. The record is from RNAcentral.